GCGUGCCUGCGGUCAGCCGGGACAGCAAGGACCAGGGGACCUCAACCUACGGCCACCCUCCGUGGGGCGGCUUACCCGGCCCGCCACAUGGCAGAAGCUUCUGUGAUUCGGGAUCUGUGGUGACUCAAGAGGGCUAAUACUGCAUGGCCAAUUGCAUCUCUCACACAAGCAUUUCCAGCUGAAAGGCUCACCUUUCCAUCUUGGAUUGUCAAUAAGCAAAGGGGAAAGGUGCUAAAGUGAGAAGCUGUGGGCAUUGUUGGGAUGCACGCACAAGAGGCAGGUUCUCCUUCCCAGUCCAAGAACCCCACUCCUGUUAAUUCUUCACAUGCUUUUAAGAGUAACACAAAUGUCACAGAGCAGAAGCUCUAUAGAGGGAGAGGCUGGAUGGGUCCACACGAGACAUCCCUAGGAUUUGGGCUUAGGAAGGAAGACAAGAGAAGCUUGGAAGGUCCAGUCUCCAGCAACUGAAUAAUCUAAUUUCUGAGAUGAGAGUUCCACUGGGGUCCUAAGCUGGGGACAGAGCUGGCAGAAGGGGGUGCAUGAGCCCAGAAUCCUGGGAUCAUGACCUGAACCAAAGGCAGCUGCUCAACUGACUGAGCCACCCAGGCGCCCCACAGUUUCUUAAUCUUUAAACCUCAGUUUGUUAGUGAAGUGAAGGUAAUGCCUACCUCAUGGGGUGACUUAAGGAUUAAAUGAGGGAAAGCACCAAACACUUAGCAAAGGAACUGACACCUAGCAAGUGCCUGGUACUUGUCAAUAUUAUCCAAUCAUAACGUAGUUCCAAUAUAAGGUCCCUCUUACUCUGGCUUCAUUCUUGAUUAGCUGGUCAACCACCCAUUGUAUCCUUGGUGACAACCACUUGGGACCUCCAGCUAACCAGGAACCAGGAGCCUAAUUCUCCAGAGACAUGCCUCUUGCUCUACAUAAUUGUGUGCUGUCCGACAGAGAGUCUGUCUGUAAAACUUCAUCCUAGGAAGGAGCCUGCCUUGAAGUGGGUUCCACUGGGAUGACACCCAAUUCAUCUCUGUAUCCCCAGUGUCUGAUAUACAGUGUGGUGUCUGACAAAUGUCCCUUUGGUUUCAGUGGGAGAAGCAUUAGGCUGAGAAUCCAGUGACCUGGGGUCUGGAGCCAGGCUUCUUCCUGAUACACUGUCAGUCCUGGGAGAAGUUACUUUAUUUCCCUGGGCCUUAGUUUCUUUAUCAGACAAGCAAGAGUUUGGAUCUGGUGACCUCUAGGUCCCCAGCCGACCCAGUCCCAUCUCUAGGAGAAGUCUAUGCUUCUUUCUAACUCGCUCCCCUGACCUUCCCCCUCCCCGACACCCAGAACCUAAGUGGCUCCUUCUGGCCUGCAGGACCAUGUCUCUGCAUCCUGGAAUCCAGGCAGCAGCAGUGUAACCAAGCUGCUGACAGUAAUGUGUCAGGCAGGGUACAUGGCCAGCAGAAAGAGACAAUAGACAACACAAGAGAGUGUCACCAGCAUCCUGCUCUCAAAUUACGCCAAAUAAACGCCUUUGAGCACUCAGAGAUUAGAGCCUCCCCGAUCGAAGCUGGAGGGAAAGAAUGGCUUCAAUUAAAAGAAACAGCAGAAUUACUGAUUUCCUUAGAGACACUCCUCCCAAAUUACUACAAACAGCCCCAGUGCUCCCUACUGUGAAUUUCAGUGUCAAGGGCCAAUUCAAACCAUUCUUCAGUCAUGAGACAAUCCUCAAGCAAGGCACUCUCAGCAGCCCCACCUCUGCAGAGGUGGUCUUGGAGGUCCUACUACCCCCGCCAAGAGGGAAGGGAGGUUAGUUCCCACCACCUCCUUUCCUGAAGAUAGCUCCCAGUAGUUCUAAAUUGUUUCAAGGCCCUUCCUUUUUAAGGAGCCAGAAAAACCCAGACUCUCAGGAAAAGGAGAUGCUUUGAAUUUUCAAGACCUCCACUUAUGGGGAUGGAAGAACAGGAUUAACUCCCCAUAAAGUGGAGUGGAAGCUCGUGGUGUAAGGUUGAAAGGGAGAGGGGAGCUCUGGACUGAAUUCCAGCCCCACCACAUGAGAGCUGAGCCAUCUUAGGCAAGUUCCUUCACUUUGAUGAGCCUCAGUUUCUCAGCCUAUAAAAUGGCUCUGAUGAAAAUCAGUCGAUCAUUUAUUCAGUGGCUAUUUGCUAUGUAUAUACCUCAAAAAGGAGUCUGUGGG
This is a long non-coding RNA of Lutra lutra (Eurasian river otter), 2173 nucleotides long. RefSeq lists it as uncharacterized. Lineage: Eukaryota; Metazoa; Chordata; Mammalia; Carnivora; Mustelidae. The record is from RefSeq and is a predicted model, not a curated record. The transcript has 5 exons.